AUUGAACGCUGGCGGCAUGCUUACACAUGCAAGUCGAACGAGUGGCGAACGGGUGAGUAAUAUAUCGGAACGUGCCCAGUCGUGGGGGAUAACUGCUCGAAAGAGCACUAAUACCGCAUAGAUUGGAGCGGCCGAUAUCAGAUUAGGUAGUUGGUGGGGUAAAGGCCCACCAAGCCAACGAUCUGUAGCUGGUCUGAGAGGACGACCAGCCACACUGGGACUGAGACACGGCCCAGACUCCUACGGGAGGCAGCAGUGGGGAAUUUUGGACAAUGGGCGCAAGCCUGAUGCAGCCAUGCCGCGUGUGGGAAGAAGGCUUCGGGUUGUAAAGCACUUUCAGCGGGGAGGCGUUACCCGCAGAAGAAGCACCGGCUAACUCCGUGCCAGCAGCCGCGGUAAUUC
Molecule: ribosomal RNA, 402 nt
Filed under: uncultured bacterium
Lineage: Bacteria
Description: partial 16S ribosomal RNA
Rfam family: Bacterial small subunit ribosomal RNA
Source: RNAcentral